Molecule: unclassified non-coding RNA, 240 nt
Filed under: soil metagenome
Description: partial contains 5.8S ribosomal RNA, internal transcribed spacer 2, and large subunit ribosomal RNA
Source: RNAcentral
AAGACUAUAGACCUGCGGAGUACCUGCGGAGGGAUCAUUACCGAGUGCGGGCCCUCUGGGUCCAACCUCCCACCCGUGUUUAUUGUACCUUGUUGCUUCGGCGGGCCCGCCAUUCUGGCCGCCGGGGGGCUUGCCCCCGGGCCCGCGCCCGCCGAAGACACCCUCGAACUCUGUCUGAAGAUUGUAGUCUGAGUGGAAUUAUAAAUUAUUAAAACUUUUAACAAUGAAUCUCUAGAUCGG